AUGCUCUGUUUUUUUGUCGUCAAAGAUGUGAUUGGGCCGACGCUACUAGUCCUCAGUCAAGACAUUGAGCAAAAUGUUCAGUAUCUCCAUGCAACAGACUCUUUGGAAUACGCGAGCUUGACGGCGAUGGUGAUGAAGGAAGUGGUGGAAGGGACCUCAAAGAAGACCAAUAGUUGCGCCAGGGCAAUUAUCUGGUUGGCCAGGUCGGUGAAUUUCUCGAUACAUUUGCUGGAGGGAUUAGUGAAGAACUCAGAGUCAAGCCUGCAAGAGAUGGUGGAAGAAGCAUACAAGAGCACCCUCAAGCCGUUCCAUGGAUGGAUCUCAUCAGCUGCUUACAAGGUAGCAUUGCGUCUUAUUCCGGAAAGAGACAUCUUCAUUCAGUUGCUGAUGGGGAGCUGCCAGGAUCCUGGGUAUUUUGGUGAAGAUGUCAUGGUCUUGGUCUCCAUUGUACAACCUCUGCUAGAGGAGAUAAAUGCCAUUUUGGUAAAGCAACGGCUGGAAAGGCUAAAAUCCACCUGA
Molecule: ribosomal RNA, 519 nt
Filed under: Triticum aestivum (bread wheat)
Lineage: Eukaryota; Viridiplantae; Streptophyta; Magnoliopsida; Poales; Poaceae
Description: partial small subunit ribosomal RNA
Source: RNAcentral